Molecule: ribosomal RNA, 253 nt
Filed under: uncultured bacterium
Lineage: Bacteria
Description: partial 16S ribosomal RNA
Rfam family: Bacterial small subunit ribosomal RNA
Source: RNAcentral
UCCGAAGGGGGCUAGCGUUGUUCGGAAUUACUGGGCGUAAAGCGCGCGCAGGCGGUCCUUCAAGUCAGGGGUGAAAGCCCAGAGCUCAACUCUGGAACUGCCUUUGAGACUGUAGGACUUGGGUACGGGAGAGGUGAGUGGGAUUCCGAGUGUAGAGGUGAAAUGCGUAGAUAUGCAGAGGAACACCAGUGGCGAAGGCGGCUCACUGGCCCGUUACCGACGCUCAGGCGCGAUAGCGUGGGGAGCAAACAGG